Pecten maximus is the source of this 574-nucleotide long non-coding RNA. RefSeq lists it as uncharacterized. The transcript has 5 exons. The record is from RefSeq and is a predicted model, not a curated record. NCBI's taxonomy places the organism in Eukaryota, Metazoa, Mollusca, Bivalvia, Pectinida, Pectinidae.
UUAUCCUGCAGUCUAGUUCGUCACCGGCAAUUUGUUUACAAAUAAAAUGCAUGUUGCAUUUAUUGCUUUGAGAUAAGGACAGGUACUGCACAGUUUGUCACCGUAGAUAAGCAGUCCUCACCAUGGAUUACCUGAAAGUAGGGAGGGUUGAUCAUGGACACAAUGAGACACAGGCACCUGUCACAAUCUUAAUGACAAUCUCUUACUGAUGGUUAGAAUGACCUAAUGGAAAACUCACAGAAGUUUGUACCAUUGGUACAUAAAGAGGAAUGCGUGUCCGAAGAAUUGUCGUAAGAUCCUGUAUGAAGAGUCCUAUUUGACCUCUACCCCUGACCCGGAUGUAUAUAAUCCACGUUGGUGACACAAGUUGAAUGCCCAACAUGCUGUGUUGAAACUUAAACAUUUUGCUUCUCAGAUGUUGGUCUUGGCCAGGUAGCGGCCAGUCCUACAGGAAAGUACUACAAUCGGACAAGGAUACACUUUGGUGCCAUAUCACGGUUUAUCACGUUACGAUUUGUUUCCAUUUACAUUCGGUAGAGAUAGCAAGAGAAUACAUUAAAAAGAAGUAAAUGAG